AGUGAACGCUGGCGGUAGGCCUAACACAUGCAAGUCGAACGGCAGCACAGUAAGAGCUUGCUCUUACGGGUGGCGAGUGGCGGACGGGUGAGGAAUACAUCGGAAUCUACUUUUUCGUGGGGGAUAACGUAGGGAAACUUACGCUAAUACCGCAUACGACCUACGGGUGAAAGCAGGGGAUCUUCGGACCUUGCGCGAUUGAAUGAGCCGAUGUCGGAUUAGCUAGUUGACGGGGUAAAGGCCCACCAAGGCGACGAUCCGUAGCUGGUCUGAGAGGAUGAUCAGCCACACUGGAACUGAGACACGGUCCAGACUCCUACGGGAGGCAGCAGUAGGGAAUAUUGGACAAUGGGCGCAAGCCUGAUCCAGCCAUACCGCGUGAGUGAAGAAGGCCUUCGGGUUGUAAAGCCCUUUUGUUGGGAAAGAAAAGCAGCAGGUUAAUACCCCGCUGUUCUGACGGUACCCAAAGAAUAAGCACCGGCUAACUUCGUG
RNAcentral lists this ribosomal RNA (492 nucleotides) under uncultured bacterium. RNAcentral describes it as "partial 16S ribosomal RNA". It matches the Rfam family "Bacterial small subunit ribosomal RNA", at positions 29 to 507 of the family's 1533-position model. The record is from RNAcentral.